RNAcentral lists this long non-coding RNA (525 nucleotides) under Mytilus galloprovincialis (Mediterranean mussel). The record is from RNAcentral. Lineage: Eukaryota; Metazoa; Mollusca; Bivalvia; Mytilida; Mytilidae.
UGUUUGUAUUCGUUUUAAUUUGCAACAUAUGCAAUCUGUUUAAAACAGUGAAGUUACUUCAGUGUUGACAUGAAUAUAAAUAUGGUCAUUUUUAUAAAUUUCCUGUUUACAAAACUUUGAAUUUUUACAAAAACUAAGGAAUUUCUUAUCCCAGGAAUAGAUUACCUUAGCCGUAUUUGGCACAACUUUUUGGAAUUUUGGAUCCUUAAUGCUCUUCAACUUUGUUUUUGUUUGGCUUUACAACUAUUUUGAUAUGAGCGUCACUGAUGAUUCUUAUGAAGACGAAACGCGCGUCCGGCGUACUAAAUUAUAAUCCUGGUACCUUUGAUAACUAUAAACAGGUUAAUCAUGUUACAAUUGAUGUUAAAAACAAAAAUCUAUCUAUACAAGCUUAAAACAAAGUGAUACAUAUAGAAUAUAAUAUUUUGUAACUGAGACAAAUUUAAGUGAGAUACAGAAAAUGAAUUGAUUGCAAUUUGAUUUGCCUGUUUUCGAUAGUAAAACUUGAAACAGAUUGAGAUAAAG